This 260-nucleotide ribosomal RNA is filed under the name uncultured bacterium. Its description in RNAcentral is "partial 16S ribosomal RNA". It matches the Rfam family "Bacterial small subunit ribosomal RNA", at positions 94 to 354 of the family's 1533-position model. The record is from RNAcentral.
AGCGGCGGACGGGUGAGUAACGCGUGGUAACCUACCUUACACAGGGGGAUAACAGUUAGAAAUGACUGCUAAUACCGCAUAACCCGCUAGGGUCACAUGGCCCGGACGGAAAAGAUUUUAUCGGUGUAAGAUGGACCCGCGUCUGAUUAGCUGGUUGGUGAGGUAACGGCUCACCAAGGCGACGAUCAGUAGCCGACCUGAGAGGGUGAUCGGCCACAUUGGGACUGAGACACGGCCCAAACUCCUACGGGAGGCAGCAG